This is a ribosomal RNA of 133 nucleotides. It matches the Rfam family "Eukaryotic large subunit ribosomal RNA", at positions 2623 to 2763 of the family's 3401-position model. The record is from Rfam.
GGCUGGGGCGGCACAUCUGUUAAAAGAUAACGCAGGUGUCCUAAGAUGAGCUCAUCGAGAACAGAAAUCUCGUGUGGAACAAAAGGGUAAAAGCUCGUUUGAUUCUGAUUUUCAGUACGAAUACGACCCGCGC